UACGUAGGGGGCAAGCGUUGUCCGGAAUCAUUGGGCGUAAAGCGCGUGUAGGCGGCUCGGUAAGUCCGCUCUGAAAGUCCGGGGCUCAACCCCGGGAGGCGGGUGGAUACUGUCGAGCUCGAGUCCGGAAGAGGCGAGUGGAAUUCCUGGUGUAGCGGUGAAAUGCGCAGAUAUCAGGAGGAACACCGAUGGCGAAGGCAGCUCGCUGGGACGUGACUGACGCUGAGACGCGAAAGCGUGGGGAGCAAACGGG
This 253-nucleotide ribosomal RNA is filed under the name uncultured bacterium. RNAcentral describes it as "partial 16S ribosomal RNA". It matches the Rfam family "Bacterial small subunit ribosomal RNA", at positions 524 to 776 of the family's 1533-position model. The record is from RNAcentral.